This 301-nucleotide ribosomal RNA is filed under the name uncultured bacterium. Its description in RNAcentral is "partial 16S ribosomal RNA". It matches the Rfam family "Bacterial small subunit ribosomal RNA", at positions 509 to 807 of the family's 1533-position model. The record is from RNAcentral.
CAGCCGCCGCGGGAAAACGGAGGGAGCUAGCGUUGUUCGGAAUCACUGGGCGUAAAGCGCACGUAGGCGGCUAUUCAAGUCAGGGGUGAAAGCCCGGGGCUCAACCCCGGAACUGCCUUUGAAACUAGAUAGCUUGAAUCUUGGAGAGGCGAGUGGAAUUCCGAGUGUAGAGGUGAAAUUCGUAGAUAUUCGGAAGAACACCAGUGGCGAAGGCGACUCGCUGGACAAGUAUUGACGCUGAGGUGCGAAAGCGUGGGGAGCAAACAGGAUUAGAUACCCGAGUAGUCCCUGUCUCUUAUAC